AUAAAAUUGAGGACAACUCUUUCUGCCACAACAAUGUUGUAUGCACAUCCAGAUACUUUGCCAAACUGGAUGCCUUUAUGAACAUAAUUUCCAUCCUUCUCAUACCAUUCAACCUUUAAUGAAGGAUCCACCUGGUUGAAAAUCAUCUCCGCAAGAGCAAUCCCAGCAAUUACCCCGUCUUCCUUUGCAAUGAAGUGGGCUUCUACUUCCAUGUUCGAUGGAACAGUGGCCAAACAGGUCACGUCCCCUCGGUCGCCG
This 258-nucleotide unclassified non-coding RNA is filed under the name Hevea brasiliensis (rubber tree). The record is from RNAcentral. Lineage: Eukaryota; Viridiplantae; Streptophyta; Magnoliopsida; Malpighiales; Euphorbiaceae.